UACGUAGGAGGCAAGCGUUGUCCGGAAUUACUGGGCGUAAAGCGCGUGUAGGUGGUGGGACAAGUCUGCUGUGAAAGCGCCUGGCUUAACCGGGCGAGGUCGGCGGAAACUGGUCGACUCGAGGACGGUAGAGGGGGGUGGAAUUCCCGGUGUAGUGGUGAAAUGCGUAGAGAUCGGGAGGAACACCUGUGGCGAAGGCGGCCCCCUGGGCCGGCCCUGACACUGAGACGCGAAGGCGUGGGGAGCGAACGGG
RNAcentral lists this ribosomal RNA (253 nucleotides) under uncultured bacterium. RNAcentral's name for it is "partial 16S ribosomal RNA". It matches the Rfam family "Bacterial small subunit ribosomal RNA", at positions 524 to 776 of the family's 1533-position model. The record is from RNAcentral.